Molecule: ribosomal RNA, 403 nt
Filed under: uncultured bacterium
Lineage: Bacteria
Description: bacterial SSU rRNA
Rfam family: Bacterial small subunit ribosomal RNA
Source: RNAcentral
UAGGGAAUAUUGCAAAAUGGGCGAAAGCCCGAUGCAGCAACGCCGCGUGGGCGAUGAAGGCCUUCGGGUCGUAAAGCCCUUUUUGAGGGGAUGAGGAAGGACAGUACCCUCAGAAUAAGCCUCGGCUAACUACGUGCCAGCAGCCGCGGUAAAACGUAGGAGGCGAGCGUUAUCCGGAUUUACUGGGCGUAAAGCGCGUGCAGGCGGAUUGGCGAGUUGGAUGUGAAAGCUCCCGGCUUAACUGGGAGAGGUCGUUCAAUACUUCCAGUCUUGAGUGCAGUAGAGGGAAGUGGAAUUCCGGGUGUAGUGUUGAAAUGCGUAGAUAUCCGGAGGAACACCAGUGGCGAAAGCGGCUUCCUGGACUGUAACUGACGCUCAGACGCGAAAGCUAGGGUAGCAAACG